GACUAAAGGCGGUGCUCCAGCAUGGCCGCAGUCAAAUGACUGAAACAAGUAAAAGAGAAAUAAUUUGAAUGCUAAAGGGUUAAUAUGUUGCUCAGCGCUUCAUGAUUAUUAAAGUUUCAAUGCUCCCAGAAACUACAUUCCAAUUUCCACACAUCCAUCAAUGAUAAUUAAAACUAAUCUAAAAGCAAUAUGCGAGACCCAGUUUGAUCACUUAGCAAAUUAUUAGCAUUUAUUCCGGCAUGUUCUUUGUCAAAGAGAGUCAAUAUGAAAUCUAAAUUUCUAUUCUCUCGGUUCUGUUCUGUUCUGUUCUUCAUACCAUUUUCCAAGCCCUGACUCCCUUCCUCUCUUCCAUUCUUGUAUUCUUGUGGAGAAUUCUACGAGGAACAAGGCAGAAAUACGCACACGAAUUUCGUCAUUGUAAUAUUUGAAAACAAUUUAAUUCUCUGAACUCUUUAAGAAAAAAAAAACCAAUCUAAAAAUAUAUAUAAAAUGAUGUAAAAUGUAAAGAAAAAAAAA
Molecule: long non-coding RNA, 516 nt
Organism: Octopus sinensis (East Asian common octopus)
Lineage: Eukaryota; Metazoa; Mollusca; Cephalopoda; Octopoda; Octopodidae
Exons: 2
Source: RefSeq, a predicted model, not a curated record